Molecule: ribosomal RNA, 379 nt
Filed under: uncultured bacterium
Lineage: Bacteria
Description: bacterial SSU rRNA
Rfam family: Bacterial small subunit ribosomal RNA
Source: RNAcentral
AACGAACGCUGGCGGCAGGCCUAACACAUGCAAGUCGAACGCUCGUAGCAAUACGAGAGUGGCAGACGGGUGAGUAACACGUGGGAACCUUCCCUAUGGUUCGGAAUAGCUCAGGGAAACUUGGGGUAAUACCGGAUAAGCCCUUCGGGGGAAAGGAUUUAUCGCCAUUGGAUGGGCCCGCGUCGGAUUAGCUAGUUGGUGAGGUAACGGCUCACCAAGGCAACGAUCCGUAGCUGGUCUGAGAGGAUGAUCAGCCACACUGGGACUGAGACACGGCCCAGACUCCUACGGGAGGCAGCAGUGGGGAAUAUUGGACAAUGGGCGCAAGCCUGAUCCAGCCAUGCCGCGUGAGUGAUGAAGGCCUUCGGUUGUAAGACUC